CUUCCAGAUCUCUCGAACUAGAUUAGUGUAACAGGGUUCAGUGUGGGCUUUAGUGGAGGUGCUCGACCUCCUGAGCUUGCGGAAGAUCCGAUGGCCAUGGUGGAUUGGGGAGGUUUGAUCAUACCGGCAGUCUUUAGAGUCGUUUCUCUGAACCUUAUCAACAGAUAAACGGGUUUUCCUUUCUCGACUCCAGACACUCGAGCUCCAUUGCCCGAAUCUGCAUUACCGAAUCCCAGUGAAACAAUCCCAGGAAACCCAGUAGAACAGCAACUCAACUCAAAGUGUCCUAACUCGACAUCCUCGAUCCGAAAUCCCACGCUCAUUCCAAAACUUCUUAAAAUCACGUAUUCAAAAACGAAGCACACGUCCACUUCCUAGCACAAAAUGCCAGCAGAUACCUAUAACCGCAGCCGACCCGGCGAACCCUGGCAAGCAAACAAGAGAUCCGCCGAAUCUGAUCCGGCACCAAAAUUCCAACUAAUCCAGUAAAAUACGGCGAAGGCAAACAUCAAACCUCAUCGCCCUCCAACUCGGCCUCGCCAUUCUCGUCAACGUGGGGGGCGUGUUAUUUAAUUUAAGUGGCGUCGUUCCAUAAACCGGGUUCGAACCAGCUAAUUGAACUAAGCUCGAGUCAAAAAGUGCUAACGUGGGGACACCAAAGGGAAGUCUCCAUAAAGAGAGAGAACUGAGAAGAUACAACCCCAAAAUUGAAUUUUCUUAGCUGAACUUCCUUCGGUGCCCUCACGCGAACGACGAAAUCACCGGAUGUGCCCUUCAACAGAAGAAGAUCCCGAGGGCAAAUCAGGAAAAAAGUCAGUAAAAUUCACCGUCCUCUCCUUCCUUUGCACCCAAGUCGCCGUGGCUUUCAAUCGCCAUAAGAAUCCACACGAACCUGCGAGACCGGAAUCGAGGUUCGAAUCCGAGCAAUGCGGACAAAGAUCGCGAUCGAUCACUCUCUAUCUCGCUGCGCGAUGGCGCCAUUUGAUCGCGUCUGCGCAUGCGAAACGUGCGGCGAUUGGAUUUUUCCCGUGGCGCGGUUUUCGGUUUUUUCUCGAUGACGCUGUUCGAUCCGAUUCUCUCGUAGAAUGUAGAGCGGAACGGGUCGUGGUUGGGAGUGAUGGUUGUUCUGACAACGCUUGAUUGCAGCGAGUGGAGUGGGGCGAGAGGUAAUUGCAAUUCGCGUUCAUGGCAUCAGUUACUGCUGCCCUGAUCCUCUGACUCAAUCCGGAUUUGGGAGUUUUGAUAGUGAGAAUUGACAGGCCCUGGUAUUGAGUGGGUUGGUUUUGAGCUUGGACAGUGAGAUUUGAAUUGUGAAUUUUGGCUGAUUAGGCAUUUCAGGGUUGGGGGGGAAUAGUUGACUGUGUUGUGGAGCUGUGGUGCCUGAUUGAAUGGGACAGACUAUAGCUGAGUGAUCCCUCAGGUGUACGAUUUGGAUGUUUUCAAAGCAUAGGACUGAUAGUGUUGUGUUGUAUUUGAACUUUGAGUGAGGUCCAAGGCUCAUAAAGCUGUUUACAAUCACGCUCUUGUGACGAUGGUCGUGGAGUAUGCAUCUGUAGUAAGUGUUCUUUAUAAAGAUUUUCCCGUUUACUUAGAGCUUCUUGUUAUUACCUUCAGAUUUCACCAAUUUCAAUACAAUAACAUCGUAACAAGAUGCAAAGCUUUUUAUUUUGCAAGUUUACAUGUCAGAUUUGACAGAACUUUUUAGUUGGACAUGUCCUGGUUGUGAUGGAAAGACCAAGGGGUUCUAAUUCAUUGAUCUGAUAGUUGACGUCCAGCACUGCUUAUAGGCAUCUAUUGGCGUGGCCAGGACCUUAAUGCUGCGGUUAUAGCUUUCGAAGGUACUCAAGAACAUAGGUUCAUCAUGGAUUUAUUAUGCUUGUCGCUAUACGACGGUGCAACCUGGUACUUUGGAUGCUGUUAGAAGAGCCAAGGAUUUGACAUCAACGUCAUGGUGACAGGGCAUUCUAUGGGAGGGCCUAUGGCAUACUUUUGC
Syzygium oleosum is the source of this 1993-nucleotide long non-coding RNA. RefSeq lists it as uncharacterized. Lineage: Eukaryota; Viridiplantae; Streptophyta; Magnoliopsida; Myrtales; Myrtaceae. The record is from RefSeq and is a predicted model, not a curated record. The transcript is spliced from 5 exons.